Molecule: ribosomal RNA, 221 nt
Filed under: uncultured bacterium
Lineage: Bacteria
Description: partial 16S ribosomal RNA
Rfam family: Bacterial small subunit ribosomal RNA
Source: RNAcentral
AGUAAUGUCUGGGAAACUGCCUGAUGGAGGGGGAUAACUACUGGAAACGGUAGCUAAUACCGCAUAACGUCGCAAGACCAAAUGGGGGACCUUCGGGCCUCAUGCCAUCAGAUGUGCCCAGAUGGGAUUAGCUAGUAGGUGGGGUAACGGCUCACCUAGGCGACGAUCCCUAGCUGGUCUGAGAGGAUGACCAGCCACAUUGGAACUGAGACACGGUCCAG